Molecule: ribosomal RNA, 253 nt
Filed under: uncultured bacterium
Lineage: Bacteria
Description: partial 16S ribosomal RNA
Rfam family: Bacterial small subunit ribosomal RNA
Source: RNAcentral
CACGGGGGUGGCAAGCGUUGUCCGGAAUUACUAGGCGUAAAGGGCAGGUAGGCGGAUUUAUAAGUCGGACGUUUAAGCCUCAGUCUCAAGCUGAGAAGUGCGUUCGAUACUGUAAAUCUUGAAUACGGUGGGGGAAGACGGAAUUCCAGGUGUAGCGGUGGAAUGCGCAGAUAUCUGGAGGAACACCGAAGGCGAAGGCAGUCUUCUAUACCGAAAUUGACGCUAAACUGCGAAGGUGUGGGGAUCAAACAGG